This 69-nucleotide transfer RNA is filed under the name Schistocephalus solidus. It matches the Rfam family "tRNA". Rfam says of the family: Transfer RNA (tRNA) molecules are approximately 80 nucleotides in length. Their secondary structure includes four short double-helical elements and three loops (D, anti-codon, and T loops). The record is from Rfam by way of RNAcentral. Lineage: Eukaryota; Metazoa; Platyhelminthes; Cestoda; Diphyllobothriidea; Diphyllobothriidae.
GAGCCCGUGGCUCAAUGGUAGAGCGUUCGACUCAAAUACCAAUCGUCGCGGGUUCGAAUCCCAGGUUUG